This 1352-nucleotide ribosomal RNA is filed under the name Mycolicibacterium smegmatis. Its description in RNAcentral is "bacterial SSU rRNA". It matches the Rfam family "Bacterial small subunit ribosomal RNA", at positions 73 to 1436 of the family's 1533-position model. Lineage: Bacteria; Bacillati; Actinomycetota; Actinomycetes; Mycobacteriales; Mycobacteriaceae. The record is from RNAcentral.
GGCCCUUUCGGGGGUACUCGAGUGGCGAACGGGUGAGUAACACGUGGGUGAUCUGCCCUGCACUUUGGGAUAAGCCUGGGAAACUGGGUCUAAUACCGAAUACACCCUGCUGGUCGCAUGGCCUGGUAGGGGAAAGCUUUUGCGGUGUGGGAUGGGCCCGCGGCCUAUCAGCUUGUUGGUGGGGUGAUGGCCUACCAAGGCGACGACGGGUAGCCGGCCUGAGAGGGUGACCGGCCACACUGGGACUGAGAUACGGCCCAGACUCCUACGGGAGGCAGCAGUGGGGAAUAUUGCACAAUGGGCGCAAGCCUGAUGCAGCGACGCCGCGUGAGGGAUGACGGCCUUCGGGUUGUAAACCUCUUUCAGCACAGACGAAGCGCAAGUGACGGUAUGUGCAGAAGAAGGACCGGCCAACUACGUGCCAGCAGCCGCGGUAAUACGUAGGGUCCGAGCGUUGUCCGGAAUUACUGGGCGUAAAGAGCUCGUAGGUGGUUUGUCGCGUUGUUCGUGAAAACUCACAGCUUAACUGUGGGCGUGCGGGCGAUACGGGCAGACUAGAGUACUGCAGGGGAGACUGGAAUUCCUGGUGUAGCGGUGGAAUGCGCAGAUAUCAGGAGGAACACCGGUGGCGAANGCGGGUCUCUGGGCAGUAACUGACGCUGAGGAGCGAAAGCGUGGGGAGCGAACAGGAUUAGAUACCCUGGUAGUCCACGCCGUAAACGGUGGGUACUAGGUGUGGGUUUCCUUCCUUGGGAUCCGUGCCGUAGCUAACGCAUUAAGUACCCCGCCUGGGGAGUACGGCCGCAAGGCUAAAACUCAAAGGAAUUGACGGGGGCCCGCACAAGCGGCGGAGCAUGUGGAUUAAUUCGAUGCAACGCGAAGAACCUUACCUGGGUUUGACAUGCACAGGACGCCGGCAGAGAUGUCGGUUCCCUUGUGGCCUGUGUGCAGGUGGUGCAUGGCUGUCGUCAGCUCGUGUCGUGAGAUGUUGGGUUAAGUCCCGCAACGAGCGCAACCCUUGUCUCAUGUUGCCAGCACGUUAUGGUGGGGACUCGUGAGAGACUGCCGGGGUCAACUCGGAGGAAGGUGGGGAUGACGUCAAGUCAUCAUGCCCCUUAUGUCCAGGGCUUCACACAUGCUACAAUGGCCGGUACAAAGGGCUGCGAUGCCGUGAGGUGGAGCGAAUCCUUUCAAAGCCGGUCUCAGUUCGGAUCGGGGUCUGCAACUCGACCCCGUGAAGUCGGAGUCGCUAGUAAUCGCAGAUCAGCAACGCUGCGGUGAAUACGUUCCCGGGCCUUGUACACACCGCCCGUCACGUCAUGAAAGUCGGUAACACCCGAAGCCGGUGGCCU